UAGUUUCCUCCAGGUAACCCAGACGGUUCUCAAAAUCUCCAGCCCAGGUGCAAAAUUUCCCGCUUGUCAGUGUCAUAUUUGACAGUAAAUGGGGCGCAAAUGGGCACCCCAUUUACUGAAAUACCAUCAUUUUCGGUCCCCAUUCCAAAUCAGUGAAAGUUUGGAAAUGAUCCAAAAACCGAACAAGAAAUGGACACCACCCGACAACAUCGACUCCUACCAAAGGUAAAUAGAAAACUGCUUGCAUAACUCUUACCCAAACCAAAUGGCGACUAACGGAAGGAAGUAUUAACAUAGCAUUCAUAGAUGAUCUAAACGCAUUGAUAACAAAUGCAAUAAAACAGCCAGAACAGAAGCAUAAUAUAUACUACAAACCAAACGAGAGAUUUUGAAAAAAACAUUCUGCUGUAAUUUGCCUUUUAAGAUCAUCAAUAUCCGUAGCUUGUAUUUAAUAAACAAUGGACUUAAGAUGUCCCCAAAGAAAGAA
Long non-coding RNA from Dendroctonus ponderosae (mountain pine beetle), 487 nucleotides. RefSeq lists it as uncharacterized. The transcript is spliced from 2 exons. NCBI's taxonomy places the organism in Eukaryota, Metazoa, Arthropoda, Insecta, Coleoptera, Curculionidae. The record is from RefSeq and is a predicted model, not a curated record.